RNAcentral lists this ribosomal RNA (467 nucleotides) under uncultured bacterium. Its description in RNAcentral is "partial 16S ribosomal RNA". It matches the Rfam family "Bacterial small subunit ribosomal RNA", at positions 28 to 507 of the family's 1533-position model. The record is from RNAcentral.
GACGAACGCUGGCGGCGUGCUUAACACAUGCAAGUCGAACGGAAAGGCUCCAGCUUGCUGGAGUACUCGAGUGGCGAACGGGUGAGUAACACGUGGGUAAUCUGCCCUGCACUCUGGGAUAAGCCUGGGAAACUGGGUCUAAUACUGGAUAUGACCUUUCUCCUUAUGGGGUUUGGUGGAAAGUUUUUCGGCGUAGGAUGAGCCCGCGGCCUAUCAGCUUGUUGGUGGGGUGAUGGCCUACCAAGGCGACGACGGGUAGCCGGCCUGAGAGGGUGAUCGGCCACAUUGGGACUGAGAUACGGCCCAGACUCCUACGGGAGGCAGCAGUGGGGAAUAUUGCACAAUGGGCGGAAGCCUGAUGCAGCGACGCCGCGUGAGGGAUGACGGCCUUCGGGUUGUAAACCUCUUUCAGCAGGGACGAAGCGUAAGUGACGGUACCUGCAGAAGAAGCACCGGCUAACUAUGUG